GAUGAACGCUGGCGGCGUGCCUAAUACAUGCAAGUCGAGCGAACAGACGAGGAGCUUGCUCCUCUGACGUUAGCGGCGGACGGGUGAGUAACACGUGGAUAACCUACCUAUAAGACUGGGAUAACUUCGGGAAACCGGAGCUAAUACCGGAUAAUAUAUUGAACCGCAUGGUUCAAUAGUGAAAGACGGUUUUGCUGUCACUUAUAGAUGGAUCCGCGCCGCAUUAGCUAGUUGGUAAGGUAACGGCUUACCAAGGCGACGAUGCGUAGCCGACCUGAGAGGGUGAACCGCCACACUGGAACUGAGACACGGUCCAGACUCCUACGGGAGGCAGCAGUAGGGAAUCUUCCGCAAAGGGCGAAAGCCUGACGGAGCAACGCCGCGUGAGUGAUGAAGGUCUUCGGAUCGUAAAACUCUGUUAUUAGGGAAGAACAAAUGUGUAAGUAACUAUGCACGUCUUGACGGUACCUAAUCAGAAAGCCACGGCUAACUACGUG
RNAcentral lists this ribosomal RNA (497 nucleotides) under uncultured bacterium. RNAcentral's name for it is "partial 16S ribosomal RNA". It matches the Rfam family "Bacterial small subunit ribosomal RNA", at positions 28 to 507 of the family's 1533-position model. The record is from RNAcentral.